RNAcentral lists this ribosomal RNA (497 nucleotides) under uncultured bacterium. RNAcentral's name for it is "partial 16S ribosomal RNA". It matches the Rfam family "Bacterial small subunit ribosomal RNA", at positions 28 to 507 of the family's 1533-position model. The record is from RNAcentral.
GACGAACGCUGGCGGGGUGCUUAAUAAAGGCAGGUCGACGGGAGGGACCGGUGCCUGGCCCGGUUAAUUCAGUGGGGAAAGGGGGGGUUAACCGGUGGGUACCCGCCUAAUAGAGGGGGGUAAAAUUCGGAAAAGGGAUGCUAAAACGGAAUGGGUCUUGGAGCGGCAGGGUUGGAGGGGGAAAGGAGGGGCAGGCUUCGCCGGUGGGUGGAACCGCGGUGCAUUAGCUAGUUGGUGAGGUAACGGCUCACCAAGGCCGUGAUGCAUAGCCGACCUGAGAGGGUGAUCGGCCACAUUGGGACUGAGACACGGCCCAAACUCCUACGGGAGGCAGCAGUAGGGAAUCUUCCGCAAUGGACGCAAGUCUGACGGAGCAACGCCGCGUGAGUGAAGAAGGUUUUCGGAUCGUAAAACUCUGUUGUUAGAGAAGAACAAGUGCUAGAGUAACUGUUAGCGCCUUGACGGUAUCUAACCAGAAAGCCACGGCUAACUACGUG